Molecule: long non-coding RNA, 956 nt
Filed under: Homo sapiens (human)
Lineage: Eukaryota; Metazoa; Chordata; Mammalia; Primates; Hominidae
Description: non-protein coding lnc-ADA-3:25
Source: RNAcentral
ACUUCCAGGCAGGGCCUCGAGGAAGUAGGUGAGCUUCUCCAUCCCUGUCUGUCUAGAUGCAGAGAACCCAAAGCCCUGCAGGAUGGCAAAGCUGCAACAUGGAAGUCACCCGGAUCACCACGUAAAGGAAAUCUCUCCAACCAGGAACAAACACCUGCCUUGCAAUAUUAGGUGUCUGCCUCCUGCCCCGGUCCACAGCCAGGAGCCCCGGAGCCAACGGCCAGCCUGGAAGACUUACAGUUCUCCCUCUGAGGGUUGCUGUGGCUUUCCAUGUUGUGGUGACUAAGUCCCUGUGUUUCUGUGCAGUCCCUGCUUCCUGGGACCAGGGAAGAAUGGUCCCGUGGCCACCAGACUUUCUCUGCUUGUAUCCUCCCAGGACCACAGAACUCAUCGCAUCCCAAGGCAGCCUAUUCCAUCAUGGAUGAGCUCAAAGUGUUUGAAAGUUCUGCUUUAUCAAGUGAGCCAAACUUCCUCCCUCAGGACCAUCCACUCCAGGGCCCAGUUAUUCUACUGGAGGAGUGAGGGUAAAGCCAUCACCAGGACAACCUUGGUGACAGGCUGGACUGGCAGCCAGCUUUUGGGGAUGACUUCAGGGAACCCUGAAUAGCCAUGGGAGCCAAAUGUAUUACUCCUCUGAUGCCUACAAUUCCACUAUAAUAGUCUGGUGGGCUUCUGUUAGGGAGGCUUAUACAUGGUGGAAAGAAUAAAGGCUUGGACUCAGCCUAGGUUCAAGUACUGCAUCUUGACCUGGCCUGUAGGCAAGUCUUUUCACUUCUCUGAGUUUUGGCUUUCUCAUUUGUCCAAUAGGAAUAACAAUAAUGAUAAUAAUAAUACCUCCCAUGCAGGAUUGCUAGUAUGUUCAAUGGGAUAAUAUAUCUAAACACCUCACACAAUGCCUGGCACAUAGCAGGUGUUCAAUUAGGUCUGUAUUAAAAUCCAGGCUCUGUCUCUUAUUA